This 242-nucleotide long non-coding RNA is filed under the name Nicotiana benthamiana. Its description in RNAcentral is "long non-coding RNA (NBEN_LNC028153)". Lineage: Eukaryota; Viridiplantae; Streptophyta; Magnoliopsida; Solanales; Solanaceae. The record is from RNAcentral.
ACAACUUUGUUAUCAUUACAAGAAGCAGAUAUAGGACAAACAGAAGUAGAAGAACAAUUAACAGAGGGAGAAGAGGAAGAAGGAACCCAAGCUAGUUUAUACAGGCCAGCAGCUUCUCUACCAAGAUCCAGUGGCCUCCUCGGAGAAGGGUCCUGUAUCAUGUGUAGUAAGCAGGAAUGUUCAGUGAACAUAACUAUACAAUGCAACUGCUUCACUAACUUGUGAACAGAAAUCAAGUUGUG